RNAcentral lists this long non-coding RNA (1828 nucleotides) under Androctonus crassicauda. Lineage: Eukaryota; Metazoa; Arthropoda; Arachnida; Scorpiones; Buthidae. The record is from RNAcentral.
GCAAAAAUAAAAAAAUUUUGUGAUUCUUUAAGCAUAAUGUAUUAUAUUUUCAAUAUCUAUGAGUCAGAAUUUGGAACUAUUUUUAACACUCAGAUAAGUUCAAUCUUCAGGAGUGUGAGAGGUGUUCAUGUUUUUGUAGGGAAAAUAAUGAAUCCAAAACCUUUUGUCACUGUCUUUCUUGUCCACUAUCAGGAGUAUUCAGUAUUAGGAGUUAAAAUACAUUAAUGAUCUAUUUAAAAGGACUGAGUCCAAGAGUUUUGUCUGCUAAAGGAGAAUGCCCAUUAAAGGAGGUUCAACUGUGUAUAAAAAAGAUAUUGUUUUUGUGUAUGUAUGUGUGUUUUAUGAUCGUAUUAUAUCAUUUUUUCAAUUCCUUUGCAUUGAUAGUUAUAUGUAUACUAAGAUGUAUAAAAAUAACUAAAAAAAAGUAUGUCUAAAAAAUUAAGAAAGUAAGACUACCAAAUUCCAUGUAAUUCCUUAGAAAACCCAUGAUAAAUAAUACUAUCAUCUAAAUUAUAAAUAUUUAAUGCAUUAUUUAGAGAAAAAUUUUCAGGUGAAAAAUGUUUAUCAUUUGAAGUAAGUCAUUUGUCACCCAAAUGACUUACAUAUAAGGUAUAAAUUCAUAUAUAGCCAACCAGAAAGAAAAUAGAUAUGGGGACAAAGUUGCCUAAUUGAUCAAGAUAUGAGAAAAAAGCAGCUAAUCAAGUAAAGAAUUGACUUCUGUAAUAAAAUUUAAAUUUGGAUCAAAUACAAGCAAAUUUUGUUAAUUCCUUUUUUGUUUUAGUAUGAAAUACAUGUAAAUUUGAAUGCCAUUUUAUUUGCUUAUAAAUUCUAUUCUUUUACAAAAAAGUUUUUAGUAAGCCCAAAAAAAAAUUAACAGUUUCAAAGUAUUAGUAAGUGUAGAACAUAUAAUCUUUCAAAUCUCAAACUAAGAAUGAUUUUUCAGUUUAUUUUAUAAUUAAUAAUGUUCAAUAUAUUUUUUAUGUAGACCAGGCAUUGGCAACUUAUGGUUCAGUAGCCAAAAUUUUUUGCUCCAUUAUCCUCAGAUAAAAUAUGAUAUCCAUCUAGUGCUGUAGUAUCUGGAAAAAAAUGCUAAUUAAUUUUUUGAGUGAGAUAUUUUGAUAAAUAGUAAUUGUAGUAACUAAAACAUAAUGCUAAAACCUAAAUACACUUGUUAUUACUAUUAUCUGUAUACUGUUCUUAUAAAUUUAAUGUAAUAUUCACAUAAUUUUGUAUUAAAUUUGACUAAUAUUGUAAUACUCUGUACUGUACAAGAUCAUUUAAGAAUUGAUUUUAUUAUUAUUAUUUAUAAUAUAUACUAUAAUAGUUCAAUAGAUAAACAUGACCCACCAUUACCUCACAGACUUUGCUUUUGGCCCAUGAGUAGAAAAAGAUUGUCGAUCAUUGUUCUAGACAGAUAUGAUGGAACAUGGAAUUUUAAAUUAUGCAAUAGUUAAUGAAUGACCUAGAAUAAUUUUUUCCACUAGGUUUAUUUCUUUGGAAAUGAUGACUUCAUUUAAUUUAGAAUCUUCAAAAUUAAACUGAAUUAGUAGAAGUUAAUUCACUUGGAAAUAUCAUCUUGAAACAGUCAACUUAUGGACUAUUUCAAAUGAAUCUACACAUCAAAAGUAAGAAGGUUAUGAUUUAGGAAUCAAAUCAAGACAAACUGUAAUUGGAAGAGGAAAAAUUCUUUAUUUCAUUGAUAAAUUUGAUUGCCCUUUUUAGAAAUAUGUAAAUCAAAGUAUGAUUGCCAAAGACAAUCAUACGUUGAUCUAUGUAUUUGGAUAUUUUUGACAAAAUCAAUGAGUGCUAAUUAGCCAAAAUACAUUUU